GCUCCCUCAAGCCGUUUUCAAUCAGGUGGAGACUGCUCUGCUCAUCCCAGAGGCCUCAGUUAUCCUCUGAAAAAGCUCAUGCAGCUUAUGAAAGAAACAGUUGUGGAAACUUUAUAAUUCAUCUGUAAAGAACUCUAGACCUGGCAGCUUUGUUUGGGCAAGAUUCACAAACAUUCUUGAUUAGAAUGUUCAGCAGAGUGCGCGUGGAAAAUUCUGACUCCCAGGCUCCCCCUUCCUCACCAGGGCAGAAUCUGCAGGGGAAGGUUUGUAACAAGCACGCCAGAAGAGUCUCGUGAUGAGGAUAAUUUAGGAACUAUUUGGGUGUCAGAUGAUGACGAGCUAUCCUUGUUUUAAAGCCCCCUGUGCUGCCUGUUGUCUUCACGUCACUCAAACAUUUCGCAUGGCUUGAGAAGUGCUGCCAUGUCUGCACCCGGGAUGUGAACCGGCGAACCCUGGGCCACAGAAGUGGAAUGUGCAAACUCAACCGCUGCACCACCAGAAACAAGCAAGGAGGUACCUGGGCAUAAGCAGCUCAUGAGAUGCAUUUCUCAGGCAAUAUUGUAUGAUUUAAUCGACUCUGGAAGAUGGUCCGUUCAGAGCUAAAUGGCUAUCAGUCAAGACUGGUGCCACACAGCCAGAAGAUUUACAUGUACAACUAUUAUCUAAGUCUCAAGGACUUUUUUCCAUUCUGCAUAACCUACCCAGCUUUCAGGAUUUAUAUUUAUAUUCAAAAGGGGGGCAUGAGGAAGUGUAACAUCCAGCCAGUCUUCGAGCACCGCACUGUAAUGCAGAGUCAGGAAGAACAACUGCCAACUAUUCAUAAACAAGACACCACUGAGAGAAUCCUAGGACAUAAGGGUGAGGCUGAAGCUCUCCCCUGCACCUCAGAGACCAAGACAGACUGCAUUGGAAAGGCCCGACCCCGUGACUGAGUGGUUGAGUCUGUGCGCUCCGCUUUGAUGGCCUGGGGUUUCAGUGGUUUGGAUCCUGGGAGCGGACACGGCACCACUCAUCAGGCCACGCCAAGGCGGCAUCCCACAUGCCACAACUAGAAGGACCCACAACUGAAAUAUACAACUGUGUACUGGGAGGACUUGGGGAGAAAAAUCAGAAAAACAAACAAACAAAAGAUGAUUGGCAACAGUUGUUAGCUCAGGUGCCAAUCUUUGGGA
This 1172-nucleotide long non-coding RNA is filed under the name Equus caballus (horse). RNAcentral's name for it is "lncRNA (ENSECAG00000032838.3)". The record is from RNAcentral. Lineage: Eukaryota; Metazoa; Chordata; Mammalia; Perissodactyla; Equidae.